GGGUUCAGUGGAAGAAUUCCAAGGCCAAGAACGAAGCGUCAUCCUCAUCUCCACCGUGCGAAGCAGCCAGAGCUUUGUGCAGCUGGAUCUGGACUUUAAUCUGGGUUUCCUUAAGAACCCCAAGAGGUUCAAUGUAGCUGUGACCCGGGCCAAGGCCCUGCUCAUCAUCGUGGGGAACCCCCUUCUCCUGGGCCAUGACCCUGACUGGAAAGUAUUCCUGGAGUUCUGUAAAGAAAACGGAGGGUAUACCGGGUGUCCCUUCCCUGCCAAACUGGACCUGCAACAGGGACAGAAUUUACUGCAAGGUCUGAGCAAGCUCAGCCCCUCUACCUCAGGUAUGGCUGGGCCAGGGUGGGGACAGUGCCAGAGGAGGUGGUAAGGAAGACACAGUGUACUUUCUUUCUUUCCAGGGCCCCAUAGUCAUGACUACCUCCCCCAGGAGCGGGAGGGUGAAGGGGGCCUGUCUCUGCAAGUGGAGCCAGAGUGGAGGAAUGAGCUCUGAAGACACAGCACCCAGCCUUCUCGCACCAGCCAAGCCUUAACUGCCUGCCUGACCCUGAACCAGAACCCAGCUGAACUGCCCCUCCAAGGGACAGGAAGGCUGGGGGAGGGAGUUUACAACCCAAGCCAUUCCACCCCCUCCCCUGCUGGGGAGAAUGACACAUCAAGCUGCUAACAAUUGGGGGAAGGGGAAGGAAGAAAACUCUGAAAACAAAAUCU
This 720-nucleotide small RNA is filed under the name Pan troglodytes (chimpanzee). Its description in RNAcentral is "processed transcript". The record is from RNAcentral. Lineage: Eukaryota; Metazoa; Chordata; Mammalia; Primates; Hominidae.